Molecule: long non-coding RNA, 2762 nt
Filed under: Triticum aestivum (bread wheat)
Lineage: Eukaryota; Viridiplantae; Streptophyta; Magnoliopsida; Poales; Poaceae
Description: long non-coding RNA (TAES_LNC017727)
Source: RNAcentral
CACACGCGAAAACAAAGUACUCAAUAAAUAUCAUGUAUAUCGAGUGCUUGAUUCCGUCAUGUUUGAUUAAUGAAAUAUCAGGCCCCCGGAAUCAAAGUCCCACUUGAAUGCUACAUUAAAGUGUUCAAUGCAUGUAACGUGUCUAGCUCCUUUGAUGUCGUUGGAUCGAGUACCCGAGUAAUGUUAGUAAAAUACACAGUUGAGUUAGAGUCCGUAACUCGGGAACUGUCUACCUCCUUGUAAAGUUAUACGGAAUGCUCCCCCUUGGCCUCUUCUCACUUGGGUCGACGACCGAUGAUGCCCCCCAUCUUUUUUUGGCAAAUGUCUCUAAAGUUCUUCGUGUUAGACAACAUGAGGACCGCAACCGAGGAUAUAAAGUGCAACGCGGUAGUUAUAUGGGAUGUAGUGUCAAUUGAUGUAAACAUUACUCUUAGUUUCUAGCCACGAAACCGGAUUGACACGGGAGAGGAAAAACCCGAUCUCACCGCGCGUGAUAUUAAACUUCUCAUAUUUGUAACAUCACGACACUUGGGUGUACUUCCUGGAAGUUUUUUGAUCGGAGGAUUCUAAGUACCUGGCGAGAUGAAUGAAAAUGCUACUGUUUUGGGGCCGGAUCAAACUACCAUAAUGACUUGAAAGGCAAAGAUCAUUCAUAGAUUUAUUCAGUGGUGUGGCCAUGAAAAGACAUGCAUGUGAACAAUAUGAGUGUGUCCAAAAAAAUCCGAGGCCCUCAUCGUAAACACGCACAAAAACUUCUCAAUUCUUUUGAAAUUAUUUAACUUGUUUUCUCAAUGUUGAUAUUAUGAAAUUUUCCGCGUAUGAUGCUGCACUACUACUCGGUCAGUCAUGUGGUUCAUAUCUGAGGUCUAUGGCCUGUAGCACAAAUCCAUAUCACCGAAUGACCGACAACAAAAAUCGCAAGUUUCUUCCCUGAACUAGUCCGAUGGAAAGGAAGAGACAGACCUAGUUUUUUUUUUGUGUGCAAAAGGUUGUAGAAUAAGUUUCCCAAAGACUUUACAAGAGUUAUUUCACCACAAUUAACAAUAGACGAUGCCCUGAAUAAACAAGUUCAAAAGUUCUUCAUAAUUUUCACCAAAAGUUUAUGUAAAAAAUCAAACGCUUGGUCUUGCUUGUUUGUAAAAUAAUCUAUAUAUUGGCCGGAAAAGUGCUGUACUUCUCAUGCGUACAGAACAGACAAAGCGUUUACUGUGUAUAUAGUCAAAACAUAUGCACAGGCCGUGCAAUCAAAUCUGAUCCGCAAAUAAAUAUUUAAAUGAAAUAGUUUUUUCAAUAGAAAAGUUAAGCUAAAAUAGUGCAUAGUUAAAGGGCUCGCGAAGUCAAUCAGUCUUCUGGUGCCGGUGUUCCCUCUUCUCCAUGGGCGAUACGCGGAGAGGCACGACCCGAUUUGGCCAUGGCUGGUGCUGGACAUGCACGGGAGAUGAAUACCUAUCACACAAAACAAACAAAAAUAAAAGAUGCUCACCCGAUCAGAAAUCCAUCGACCGAAUUCACAAGUAAAAUUCCAAGAUUGAACCAAGAGACACUUGCACCAAGUGCUUGGAUGUAUCUAACUCGCACAUAAACAAAAAGAAGAAGGCGGGUGGUUGGAUCUCACCCUGCUCUCUUGCUUGGGAGAGGAUGGUGUUGCCCCAGAGCGAUGGAUUCGGCAGAUUUAGCAUCUUCUCCUCUGGCCGUGGCAGCUCGUUCUGCUCCCAAACGCGGUUUCUCCUCUUCUCCCAAGCGAGAAGGAGGGAAAUCUAGAUCUGGUCGAACCCGAGCUUCUGAACAAGCGAGUCCUUGGCCCAGCCUGGCGUGUAGGUUGGCCUAAGUCCUUGCUGCCAAUACACGGAGGAGCUCGUCGACGGCCAUUUUGUGGAGGAGUACAGGGACGCCGGCGGCUGAGAGCAAUCCAAGAGGGGAGGAAGACAGAGGACAAACGACAGAGAGGGAAUGGAAGCAGGGUGAUGGGGUGGGGUCUAGGUGGGGGGAAAGCAGAUACGACGGGACUGUAUUGGCACCGUAUACUCAGCUGUGAAUUGAGAAUUUGGAGUUUCGGGCGUGGGGCUAGGUGGGCCAGUGGCUCGGAUCCACACGAGGGCUGCACGGCUGUGAUACGAGCUGUGUAUGGAACGCGAAUGGAAAAGCCUUUUCCGCAUUUCAUACACAUGCUCAGCUGGGUGCUCCAAGGAUUGCCGGUUUUUUCCCCGCAAAAAAAAAAGGAUUGCCAUUUUUUUCUGAACUGGAACAUUCAUUCCAUAACUUAACCACGCACAGCAGAUUCAUGGGUGCUCCAGGAUUGCCAUUUACCACUGGAUCAUGAGCUUCUUUAUACCAAUAUUCCAACUCUAGCCGGCAAAACCGAACCAAGAUAGAGUUCAUUUCGCCAGCCAUGGACAGGGACAUGAUACGUUGUAUAAUUGUAAGUAGGUCCAGAUAACAUAGCUGCCAAUUUUAUUCCUUGAAUACAUUUUGCCCCAGAGGUCGAGACAAGUAGUACAAACAAACAAACAAAAUACUGACUUGCAGCAGGAUAAAGCAACAAAUUUAUGCUGAAACUGAGCCGACGCUGGGAUAUUCAGCAUAUGGCCAAACCUGGGUAGCGACAAACUGAUUGGCCGGUUUAAAACUUUCGAUCACGACGCAGCUGACGGAGUUGACGCGGAAUUAAUUAAGCGGCGGAGGGCGGCACGUACGGGGUGGGCACGAGCACGAGCGGCGUCUUGCGGUGGAAGGUGAGCCCGCCGGCCUCCUCCAUGCACAGG